CUUUUUUUAAAAUGCUGAAAAAAAAAAAAAAAAAAAAAAAAAAAAAUGAUUGGUUUCUUACU
RNAcentral lists this non-coding RNA (62 nucleotides) under Pessonella sp. PRA-29. The record is from RNAcentral. Lineage: Eukaryota; Discosea; Flabellinia; Vannellidae.